Molecule: long non-coding RNA, 515 nt
Filed under: Mus musculus (house mouse)
Lineage: Eukaryota; Metazoa; Chordata; Mammalia; Rodentia; Muridae
Description: predicted gene 12610
Source: RNAcentral
CUGCUUCAUCAUAAGGCGAACCAACGAUUUCAUGUGCCUGGUAAUAUUACUACUGUUCUGCAGUUUAGGAAUCUAGACAAUAACUCCUGUUCUUUGUUCUCCUAUUCUGAGGUCAGCAUAAUGAUAUGGCUAAACAAAUGCUGACAACCACAGCUGCCGAGGGCUCAAGAGCACAAUGUCAUGUUAUGCUGCAAGAAGAUGUGAAAAAGCUGCUUCACACUCUUGCUGCCACAGCUGAGAGACACUCCUUUUGCCAUGUCCUUCAUGCUCUGAUGGACUGUUCCUUUAAACCAUGAGUCAAAAGAAACCCUUCAACACUUAAGUUUCUUCCUGUCAGGUGAUGAUAUUCUGCCUUGUAUUGGAGCAAGGAAGCAGCAGGCAUUGACCUUCCACUAUGUUCUUAUACAGAGAAGGCUUCUGGGUCUCACCAGAAGGAAAGCUCAAGGAAAAGCCAUGUGGGAGAAGCCAAUGUUUCCUAGAGCCUCAGAAUUUUGGAAUAAAAAAGGUUUGAUUUA